This 497-nucleotide ribosomal RNA is filed under the name uncultured bacterium. RNAcentral describes it as "partial 16S ribosomal RNA". It matches the Rfam family "Bacterial small subunit ribosomal RNA", at positions 28 to 507 of the family's 1533-position model. The record is from RNAcentral.
GAUGAACGCUGGCGGCGUGCCUAAUACAUGCAAGUCGAGCGAACGGACGAGAAGCUUGCUUCUCUGAUGUUAGCGGCUGACGGGUGAGUAACACGUGGAUAACCUACCUAUAUUACUUGGAUAACUUCGGGAAACCGGAGCUAAUACCGGAUGAUAUUUUGAACCGCAUGGUUCAAAAGUGAAUGACGGUCUUGCUGUCACUUAUAGAUGGAUCCGCGCUGCAUUAGCUAGUUGGUAAGGUAACGGCUUACCAAGGCAACGAUGCAUAGCCGACCUGAGAGGGUGAUCGGCCACACUGGAACUGAGACACGGUCCAGACUCCUACGGGAGGCAGCAGUAGGGAAUCUUCCGCAAUGGGCGAAAGCCUGACGGAGCAACGCCGCGUGAGUGAUGAAGGUCUUCGGAUCGUAAAACUCUGUUAUUAGGGAAGAACAUAUGUGUAAGUAACUGUGCACAUCUUGACGGUACCUAAUCAGAAAGCCACGGCUAACUACGUG